CCAGGAACGACUGUGUUGAUCUCCAGCUCUAGAAUCAACACCACUAAAGUUAGCAUGACAAGGAACGAGCUCGUUGAAACAAAAGUCGGAUCCGAGCACGGCGUCCCACCUCCUCCAUGAAUCCGCUGAAAGAGCCGCCAAUAGUUGGAAGAGCUUUCCCGAAUUAGUCCCCCCACCAUGUCGAGAGGCAGCUUGCUUCAGAGAACAUGGGAUAUGUGCUAUU
This 223-nucleotide long non-coding RNA is filed under the name Physcomitrium patens. Its description in RNAcentral is "long non-coding RNA (PPAT_LNC001257)". Lineage: Eukaryota; Viridiplantae; Streptophyta; Bryopsida; Funariales; Funariaceae. The record is from RNAcentral.